AGUGAACGCUGGCGGUAGGCCUAACACAUGCAAGUCGAACGGCAGCACAGUAAGAGCUUGCUCUUACGGGUGGCGAGUGGCGGACGGGUGAGGAAUACAUCGGAAUCUACUUUUUCGUGGGGGAUAACGUAGGGAAACUUACGCUAAUACCGCAUACGACCUACGGGUGAAAGCAGGGGAUCUUCGGACCUUGCGCGAUUGAAUGAGCCGAUGUCGGAUUAGCUAGUUGGCGGGGUAAAGGCCCACCAAGGCGACGAUCCGUAGCUGGUCUGAGAGGAUGAUCAGCCAAACUGGAACUGAGACACGGUCCAGAAUCCUACGGGAGGCAGCAGUGGGGAAUAUUGGACAAUGGGCGCAAGCCUGAUCCAGCCAUACCGCGUGGGUGAAGAAGGCCUUCGGGUUGUAAAGCCCUUUUGUUGGGAAAGAAAAGCAGCAGGUUAAUACCCCGCUGUUCUGACGGUACCCAAAGAAUAAGCACCGGCUAACUUCGUG
This 492-nucleotide ribosomal RNA is filed under the name uncultured bacterium. Its description in RNAcentral is "partial 16S ribosomal RNA". It matches the Rfam family "Bacterial small subunit ribosomal RNA", at positions 29 to 507 of the family's 1533-position model. The record is from RNAcentral.